Molecule: small RNA, 618 nt
Filed under: Histoplasma capsulatum
Lineage: Eukaryota; Fungi; Ascomycota; Eurotiomycetes; Onygenales; Ajellomycetaceae
Also listed under: 1 other name
Description: hypothetical RNA
Source: RNAcentral
UGGUCCCUACUAUCUCCACAAGCAAAUGGCUUUGGAAAAGCUUCGUCUGCGGAUAUUUGUGCACUGUUUUGGAGCCUUUUUCUCCUUAUAGCCGUGGGUAGUUUGCAUUUUCACCUGGUUAACUGACCAGUGCAUCCAUGAGGUGGGAAUCACAGAACAUAUUCCCUAAUACCAUUCAUCGGAUUUUCCCUUUGGAGAAUCGAGGCGAAUUCAAUGGGCUUAUGAGACAUGGUGAGGAUGAAGUCAACCGUAAGGUCCUUGGAUUUCUUUGGGAUGAUCGGUGGCCGGAUUGAAAUCAUUACCGCCAACAGAGCAUAGCACAGCAUGAACAACACUGCUUAGGAGUUGGAUUGGUUACAGGUACCACCGCUCAGAAUGGUCGUAUAGAAAGCUGUCGCAUUGUUCACAAAAUCGCGGUGGCUGGCCUACGAACCUACGAUAGAAUGCCUACAAGAAUACCAGUACGGCUGGCGAUAAAGUCAAUUAUAUAUCUAGCACAGUUUGGCUUGCAGACUUAGCUUCUGAUUUUAGCCCUCGUGGCCGUCUUGACAAUGCGACCGCGACGAGUCGUUAGAAGAUAGACGCUUAGAUAGAGGAAUAAGCUUUGAUAAUAUGGAG